RNAcentral lists this ribosomal RNA (259 nucleotides) under uncultured prokaryote. Its description in RNAcentral is "partial 16S ribosomal RNA". It matches the Rfam family "Bacterial small subunit ribosomal RNA", at positions 524 to 782 of the family's 1533-position model. The record is from RNAcentral.
UACGGAGGAUCCGAGCGUUAUCCGGAAUUAUUGGGUUUAAAGGGUGCGUAGGCGGCCAUUUAAGUCAGCGGUGAAAUUUUGCAGCUUAACUGUAACAGUGCCGUUGAUACUGGGGAGCUAGGAUUUGGUUGCUGUGGGUGGAAUGUGUGGUGUAGCGGUGAAAUGCUUAGAGAUCACACAGAAUAUCGAUUGCGAAGGCAGCUCACAAAGCCAAGAUUGACGCUGAGGCACGAAAGUGUGGGGAUCAAACAGGAUUAGA